AGAUGUGGAGGGCAACGCUGAAGAACUCGCACACGGCCGGACCAGAGCCUGGCUCUCGUUCCUGUCCUGUCUCUGAAGAGAACCAGCCAGGAGCUUUGUGUCGUGAGCACAGAGCACAUCAACGGGCCUCUUUGAUGUCUGUCUCCAGGAGCAGAGAAUGGCAACAGAUGACCCAGUUACCAAUGAAGGCCCUCAGGCCAAAGGUCGGCUAUAAAGAACAUCCAAGAGUUGGGGUCAGAACCUUGGGAACCAGCUUUGAUACACAGGCAACCACUUGGGCUUCAGUAUUAGGAACCCUGAAAUCAGACUCAAGAACAUUCCUGUCUCCUAAGCAAGGCCACAUCCCCUCAAAGCUGGAGCUGACUGCUUCUUGGAGAGAACAAACAUUCUGGAAUCUUGGCAGCUGUUGGAGCAAUAUUCAGCUCUCUUUGUCUUCUUUUAUUUUUAAAUUAAAAUGACAUUAUUUUUCUGAUUAUAAAGGAAAUACAGAUCCAUGUAGAAAAAUUAAGCAAAAUUAAAAAAAAUAAGGAAAAAACGGAAUUUUAUGCAAACUCUCACCCCAGAGACAAUCACUAAAAACCUUUCCAGUCAUAUCUCUAUGCAUAUACAUGUGUGUCCAUAUAUGUUUGAUACUAGUAAAAUGGAUAUUUCCAAUUACAUAUAAUGGCUACUUAACUAUUUUCCUUUGUAAAUUGUUUAUGUUCUCAGCCCAUUUUUCUAUUGAUGUUUCUGUUUUUCACAUUGAUUUGUAAGCUCUUUGUAAAUUAAGAAUAUUAAUUUUUUCACUAUCAUAGAUGGUGAAAAUAUUUCCCUCCAUACUUUGUCUUUUACCUUGUUUAUGGUGGGGGAGUGGCUUAUAGAAAUGCAAGUUUUGAAUUGUUUAAUAUCAUAUCUAUUAAUAUUUGUCAAGAUUGCAGCCUUUUGUGCCGUGCUUGAUAAGUCUUCCCUAACACAAGGGCAUCAAAAACAUAAGUCUAUGUUUUUUAAUACCCCUAUGAGUUCACUUUUUAUGUUUACCAUUUUGACAAACCAGGAAUUUAUCUUGUUGAAAUAAAUGAAGUAGCAUCUGCCUUAGCUUUCCUUCCCAGAUGGCAAGUAGUCUAUCUUUCCCUCACUGAUUUAUAAAGUGCCUGCUUUUCCUGUGUUAAAUUCUCAUAUAUUUUGGAUCUAUUUCUGGAUUCUCUAAGCUGUUGCAUUGUUUUGCACAUCCAUUCUGCUAGUGCCACGCCAUUUAGUUGCCAAAGUUUUAUCACACUUUGUCAUGAGGUGGAAUUAGUAUUCCUAAUUACUUUUCUUUUUAUAACAUUGCCCUAGCCAUUCUGAAUUUCACAUGGAAGGAUAUUUUGUCAAGUCCUCAUACCUUCCCCCAUUUUUGAAAGAAAUCCAUUGACUUUAUUGAUUAAUUUUGGGGAAGUAACCUCUUUACCCUAUUGAAGCUUUCUAACCAAGAAUAAAUUAUAGCUCUUCACUGACUUCAGGUUUUCUCUGAUGUCUAUUAAUAAAGUUUUAUGGUUUUAAAAA
This is a long non-coding RNA of Homo sapiens (human), 1521 nucleotides long. RefSeq lists it as uncharacterized. The record is from RefSeq and is a predicted model, not a curated record. NCBI's taxonomy places the organism in Eukaryota, Metazoa, Chordata, Mammalia, Primates, Hominidae. The transcript is spliced from 3 exons.